Molecule: long non-coding RNA, 635 nt
Filed under: Sparus aurata (gilthead seabream)
Lineage: Eukaryota; Metazoa; Chordata; Actinopteri; Spariformes; Sparidae
Description: lncRNA (ENSSAUG00010027337.1)
Source: RNAcentral
CAUCCAAGGAAUCAUCGGACCUCGGGUGCGCACUCAUCUCCUCUUCAAUCGCUCAUAAUGAUAUCCUGCAUAUUUUGAACGCGUUUGAAUUACUCCUGUCUUAGUUGGAUAAGUUAUAAAUCAAAUCUUUUAAACUAAGGUUGGAUAUUGUGUUAGAAUCAGCAUUGAAAGGAUUCAGAGCCAUUGGUUUAUUUUUACCUGCAGGGAAAGAAAGGACUCAAAGGGGAGCAAGGAGAUAAGGUGAGUUCAUCCCACAUACAUGUCCACUCUCUCUUCAUUUGGCUGAAAAUAUUGGCUCUUAAAUUGAUUCUUUCACUUUAUGUCUUUAUUCAAAUUCAGCCAGGGGUCACACCAGAGUAAGGGUGUGUGUAUGUGAGUGUGUGCAUGCAUAUGGAUGUUUUAAGUGUUGAAUAAACACACAAAUGUUUUUCCUUUUUAGGGGGAACAAGGAGAGACAGGACCGAUUGGACCACAAGGACCGACAGGACAGACGGGGCCCUUGGGGUUAAAAGGAGAUGAAGGUCAGAGAGGAGCCCCUGGAGAUCCUGCCAAGGGUAUAAUUGGCCCAACUGGAAAAAAGGGUACAAGGGUGAGUAACCAAAUUCUGCUUUUUUUUUUUCAAAGAUACAUUGUGU